This 150-nucleotide unclassified non-coding RNA is filed under the name uncultured Capnodiales. Its description in RNAcentral is "sequence contains ITS1". The record is from RNAcentral. Lineage: Eukaryota; Fungi; Ascomycota; Dothideomycetes; Capnodiales.
CCGAGUGAGGGCCUCUCGCCCGACCUCCAACCCUUUGUUGAACUUCCGCGUUGCCUCGGGGGGACCCCGGCCGUUCGUGCCGGGACCCCCGAUGGACCCAACCAAAACUCUUUGCAUGUCGUGCGUCGGAGUAUUAAAGUAAAUCAAUUA